This 272-nucleotide ribosomal RNA is filed under the name uncultured bacterium. RNAcentral's name for it is "partial 16S ribosomal RNA". It matches the Rfam family "Bacterial small subunit ribosomal RNA", at positions 72 to 339 of the family's 1533-position model. The record is from RNAcentral.
UAGAGAGCUUGCUCUCUGAUGGCGAGUGGCGAACGGGUGAGUAACAUAUCGGAACGUGCCUAGGUAAUCGGGGGAAUAACUAGUCGAAAGAUUAGCUAAUACCGCAUACGACCUACGGGUGAAAGCAGGGGGAUCUUUCGGACCUUGCGUUAUUAGAGCGGCCGAUAUCUGAUUAGGUAGUUGGUAGGGUAAAGGCCUACCAAGCCGACGAUCAGUAGCUGGUCUGAGAGGACGAUCAGCCCACACUGGAACUGAGACACGGUCCAGACUCC